UUUCUCUCUCUCACACACAAUAAGUAAAGAAACUUAGGGAAAUAAAAGAAAUGACAGAUUCCUUAGCAAUUCUAAUAACCAUGAGUUUCUACUUUGCAUAUUUUAGAGAAAAUUUAUGCUUAAUCCUGUAAGUAUCGAGAAAUUGAUCCUGUCUGGGUAAUUGUAUCGUAUACUCACCACAGUAGAAACCAUAGGAUUUUUUCAGGUAUCCGGUCAACUAGUGUUAGUCUCUCCUGAAAACAGUGCGUUGAUCUUGAUUUGGUACAAGUGUGCUGGUGGAAUUCAUGUGUUCCAUAAUAAUGGAAGGGAACAAGUUCACGUGCAGGUGUCUUGAGAGAAUGCAUUGUAUAUUAAACACAUUUCCGUGUGUUUCCUCAGGUUCCUGGUAAGAAAACAGGGUGAACUGAAAAUGGUUCACAUACCCUUGCUAGUAAGCAGGUAAGUGUCAAAGUGAAUCCGACUACAAUGAAGACCAUGUGACCUUGAGUAGGUAAGCGAGGGUGAUAACCCUAACAUUGGUGUUAAUGUGGCUUAUUUUUUUUAUUUUUGUCGGUAUCAGGUUAGUAUCUUUGCUAGUAUGCGGGUAUGAGAUGGUGUGAUAUUAACUGAUUAAAGACCUUUGUUUUAAAGAUUUUAUUUUUAAAUAAUUUCUGCACCCUCCAUGGGGCUCCAACUCACAACUGUAAGAUCCAGAGUCACAUGCUCCACUGACUGAGUCAGGCAGGUACCCCUAAAGACAUUUCUAUAUUCAGGUAUCUACAUAAUUUAUCACUUCAAGUCUCUUCAGUUUACUUUCUUUAUGGAAUGUAUUCAGUUAAGAGUUUACUGUGUCCCUUAUAAUGCUGGUAGCAAUACGAUUUUUUUGUGUUCUUGUUUGGAAAUAAGAUCACUUAACAUAGCAGUUACAAAUUUGCAGAUAUCCUGGAAGUUUCUCAUAUUGUCCUUCGCUACUUUAUUGACUAUGGAAUUAGUAUAAGUAAUUUGAAGAGACGAAGGUGUGUCUUCCUAGAGAUUGACCUUGGAGUUCUGCAAGGAUCCAUGGGUCCUGAAAUGAUACAGUGACCAAGGGAAUGUGCAGGUGUAGUGGUAGAAUGAGACGCACCCAAAAUAUUUUUUGCAACGUUUUUCUUUUUUCAGACUCGUAUCAUUGAAGCACACUGAGCCUAUUGAUGAUAGCUAACAUAAGACAUUGCUAAUGUCACAGUAGAGAUGAUGUAGGCCUUAGCCACAGCACCGACCAUCUGAUCUUCAGACUGCUAGGUGCUCCGUAGAAGUUGUGUUACCUGACAAUGGUCUUGACCUUGGAGUCCUACAGCUAUUCGAGCAGAGGUUUCCUGUCAAGAGAUUAUGAUGAAACUCGCACUAGUGAUUCUCUGGGGACAUUUCUGUUCCCCAGACAAGUGGUGAUGUUCACCUUCGCCAUUUCAAACCAUCUGAUCUUCUCCUAUCUGGAUGAAUGUUAUCGAUGGACUAAACUUGCUUAGCACAUGUGUUUUGGUUUUUUUUUUAAU
Neofelis nebulosa (Clouded leopard) is the source of this 1511-nucleotide long non-coding RNA. RefSeq lists it as uncharacterized. The record is from RefSeq and is a predicted model, not a curated record. The transcript is spliced from 3 exons. Lineage: Eukaryota; Metazoa; Chordata; Mammalia; Carnivora; Felidae.